This 885-nucleotide long non-coding RNA is filed under the name Phoenix dactylifera (date palm). RNAcentral's name for it is "long non-coding RNA (PDAC_LNC017332)". Lineage: Eukaryota; Viridiplantae; Streptophyta; Magnoliopsida; Arecales; Arecaceae. The record is from RNAcentral.
CUGUCAGUUUGGGUUACUGUUCAUCCGGGUGGAAAAUAAGGGAUUUCAUGCCAUAAUAGGGUAUUAAGCCUAGAUUAGGCUAAGGGAGACCUUGUACUCGUGCAAGGGAGUCCCUAAUAUACAUAAAUGAUGAGUUAAUUAAUAGAAAAAGAAAAAGAGAAAGAAAAGAAAAGAUUUAGGGAACGGGGGAGUUGAAUCAAUUAAAGUUCCCUAUAUUAUAAUUGGCACGUAGAUUAUAGCCCUUGAUACUAGACUAAAUGUAUUGUAAAUGCAUGUCACAGUUGGGCAAGAAGCUAGGGAACAAGAGGAAGAAGUUCCCCACUGCCUGCUGUAGAUUUUUGGAGGCGUAUCAGGGCUGUGCCGGAUUGACAGGUGAGUGGGAGUCAUGUACUUUGCACCAUGAGCAUCCUUAAUUCAUUUUCAUGAAUGUCGCCAAGUGUGAAUUACCCGCACCCUAGGACCGUCGCGGCGGCCCGCCGGGAACGGGGCGGGGGUCGUGACAGAUUCCACUUGAGCAUAUUGAUUGAUAUUGUAGUAGAUUCCUCUAUAAUCUUGAUUCUCCAUGCUUGAUUAUUCUGUACAUGCAUUUGAGGGAACAUUGAGAGGAAUUAUGAGAGGUUGAUGAGUAAUCAAAUUGAUUCCGAAUUGUGAAAUGAUUUCUUUUGUAAAUUGAUUUCAUUUCCUCUAUUUUAAAGACUUGUGAGUUGUAGCUUGAUUAUACUCUUUUAUGAGUAAUUAAAUUGGUUCCAAAUUGUGAAAUAACUUCUUUUGUAAAUUGAUUUCAUUUCCUCCAUUUCAAAGAUUUGUAGAGCCUUUUUAGUGGUAUAUUGAGUUGUAUUGCACUUCCUUGACCCUCACUCCUAACCCUGAUGUUAGUUUAUGAUU